CCUACGGGAGGCAGCAGUGGGGAAUAUUGGACAAUGGGCGAAAGCCUGAUCCAGCAAUGCCGCGUGAGUGAUGAAGGCCUUCGGGUCGUAAAGCUCUUUUACCAGGGAUGAUAAUGACAGUACCUGGAGAAUAAGCUCCGGCUAACUCCGUGCCAGCAGCCGCGGUAAUACGGAGGGAGCUAGCGUUGUUCGGAAUUACUGGGCGUAAAGAGUACGUAGGCGGUUAUUCAAGUCAGAGGUGAAAGCCCGGGGCUCAACCCCGGAACUGCCUUUGAAACUAGAUAACUAGAGUCUUGGAGAGGUUAGUGGAAUUCCGAGUGUAGAGGUGAAAUUCGUAGAUAUUCGGAAGAACACCAGUGGCGAAGGCGACUAACUGGACAAGUACUGACGCUGAGGUACGAAAGCGUGGGGAGCAAACAGGAUUAGAUACCCUGGUAGUCCACGCCGUAAACGAUGAUAACUAGUUGUUCGGUCACUUGGUGACUGAGUGACGCAGCUAACGCAUUAAGUUAUCCGCCUGGGGAGUACGGUCGCAAGNUUAAAACUCAAAAUGAAUUGACGGCUGAGANGCGAGACGACGACGAGGAGAG
This 590-nucleotide ribosomal RNA is filed under the name uncultured bacterium. Its description in RNAcentral is "bacterial SSU rRNA". It matches the Rfam family "Bacterial small subunit ribosomal RNA", at positions 338 to 945 of the family's 1533-position model. The record is from RNAcentral.